AAGUCCCGUAACGAGCGCAACCCUUGUCAUUAGUUGCUACGCAAGAGCACUCUAAUGAGACUGCCGGUGACAAACCGGAGGAAGGUGGGGAUGACGUCAAGUCCUCAUGGCCCUUACGGGUAGGGCUUCACACGUCAUACAAUGGUACAUACAGAGGGCCGCCAACCCGCGAGGGGGGGCUAAUCCCAGAAAGUGUAUCGUAGUCCGGAUCGCAGUCUGCAACUCGACUGCGUGAAGUUGGAAUCGCUAGUAAUCGCGGAUCAGCAUGUCGCGGUGAAUACGUUCCCGGGUCUUGUACACACCGCCCGU
This 309-nucleotide ribosomal RNA is filed under the name uncultured soil bacterium. RNAcentral describes it as "bacterial SSU rRNA". It matches the Rfam family "Bacterial small subunit ribosomal RNA", at positions 1082 to 1397 of the family's 1533-position model. The record is from RNAcentral.